This 229-nucleotide ribosomal RNA is filed under the name uncultured bacterium. Its description in RNAcentral is "partial 16S ribosomal RNA". It matches the Rfam family "Bacterial small subunit ribosomal RNA", at positions 568 to 796 of the family's 1533-position model. The record is from RNAcentral.
UACGUAGGCGGGAAAUUAAGUCAGUAGUGAAAUCCCACAGCUUAACUGUGGAACUGUUAUUGAUACUGGUUUUCUUGAAUAUAGUUGAGGUAGGCGGAAUGUGUAAUGUAGCGGUGAAAUGCUUAGAUAUUACACAGAACACCGAUUGCGAAGGCAGCUUACUAAGUUAUGAUUGACGCUGAGGUACGAAAGCGUGGGGAGCGAACAGGAUUAGAUACCCUGGUAGUCC